AUCUGGGUCUGAUUCCGGUUCAAACAUCCCAGCUAACAGGGAACGUUCCCAGAACAUUCACUAACGUUCUUUAAAAGUUGUGUGAAUGUUAGUACAAAACGUUAUCAAAAUAAUGUUUUUGGAACGUUCUUAUAACGUUAUUAACGUUCUUAUAACGUUUAGAGAAAACGUUCUGGGAACAACGUUCUUGGAACAUCUUUAGGACGUUAUUUGUACUUGAUGAACGUUCGCAUAAUGUUGAUAGGAAACGUUAUUAGAACAACAUUCUCAGAACGUCCUUAUAACGUUAUUAGUAUUUUCUGAAUGUUAUCAUAAUAUUAUCAUAAAACGUUUUGGGAACAACGUUCUUGGAACAUCCUUAGGACGUUAUUUGUACUUGUCGAACGUUCGCAUAAUGUUGAUCGAAAACGUUAUUAGAACAACAUUCUCAGAACGUCCUUAUAACGUUAUUAGUAUUUUCUGAAUGUUAUCAUAAUGUUAUCAUAAAACGUUUUGGGAAACCACGUUCUUGGAACAUCCUUAGGACGUUAUUUGUACUUGACAAACGUUUGCAUAAUGUUGAUAGGAAACGUUAUUAGAACAACAUUCUCAGAACGCCCUUAUACGUUAUUAGUAUUUUCUGAAUGUUAUCAUAAUGUUAUCAUAAAACGUUUUGGGAACAACGUUCUUGGAACAUCCUUAGGACGUUAUUUGUACUUGAUGAACGUUCGCAUAAUGUUGAUAGAAACCGUUAUUAGAACAACAUUCUCAGAACGUCCUUAUAACGUUAUUAGUAUUUUCUGAAUGUUAUCAUAAUGUUAUAAAAUGUUCUGGGAACAACGUUCUUGGAACAUCUUUAGGAUGUUAUUUGUACUUGAUGAACGUUCGCAUAAUGUUGAUAGAAAACGUUCUUAGAACAACAUUCUCAGAACGUCCUUAUAAUGUUAUUAGUAUGUUCUGAAUGUUUUCAUAAUGUUAUCAUAAAACGUUUUGGGAACAAUGUUCUUGGAACAUCCUUAUUUAUACUUGAUGAACGUUCGCAUAAUGUUGAUAGAAAACGUUCUUAGAACAACAUUCUCAGAACGUCCUUAUAAUGUUAUUAGUAUGUUCUGAAUGUUUUCAUAAUGUUAUCAUAAAACGUUUUGGGAACAAUGUUCUUGGAACAUCCUUGGGACGUUAUUUAUACUUGAUGAACGUUCGCAUAAUGUUGAUAGAAAACGUUCUUAGAACAAUAUACUCAGAACAUCCAUAUAAUGUAAGUAUUUAUGUUCUCAUAAUAUAUCACGCACGGACAUUUCAGGACUCGCAUUUUGAGCUGAAUCAGACUCUCAAUUCCUGACGCCACUGAAUCGAAUCUUUUUGGAAUCGUUUACUGUCUUGAUUCUCGAGUCUGUUCUUUCCCCUCCCCCACUGCCUCACUGCAGGCAGCUCUUCUCUUGCGCGCGCAGCAGCAGAGCGUCCGUUAUUUUCUGAGGCUGAGAAAACGUAAAUGCCUGACGUUGCGAGCCGUUCGUUCCCGCUGCUGCUCCAUUCAAAUCUUGAGCGCGCUGACAGGGUCCGGUAUUUUCAUCAUAGAGAGAUUUACACAUAGGAUUUACAUCAUAAGAAGGCCGCUGCCUUUCAGUUAUUGCGCGCGCUGACAGCGUCCUGUAUUUUCAGAGAUGCUUCAAAUACAGCACUGAAGGAAGAACUGCACCUCAUUCUUGCAAGGCAGACAAGGACAGAAAAGGCCAGGUGAUAAAUGCUGCUAUUCUUCUCUAAUACUGUUGCUCUUCAAAGAACAUGGUCAUCAAUCAGGAUCCUCCAUUCCCAGCUCCAACCAGUCAUCUGAAGGACUGCAGCGAUGGGAACCCUUUGAACCACAAGUGGCAGUUUCCACCGGAUGAGAAAGGACAUGGUAGAGGAUGAUAGACCCCUAUUGAUAUCUCACUGAUGUUAGCCUGCUGUACUGACUGUAUCACACACACACAGUUUUGUGCUCAAAAGUUUACAUCACAUUGCAGAAUCUGAAAAAUCUUAGAGUUAGUUCACCCAAAAAUGAAAUUUCUGUCAUUAAUUACUUACCCUCAUGUCGUUCCACACCCGUAAGACCUUCGUUAA
Molecule: long non-coding RNA, 2079 nt
Organism: Megalobrama amblycephala (Wuchang bream)
Lineage: Eukaryota; Metazoa; Chordata; Actinopteri; Cypriniformes; Xenocyprididae
Exons: 6
Source: RefSeq, a predicted model, not a curated record